This 220-nucleotide ribosomal RNA is filed under the name uncultured bacterium. RNAcentral's name for it is "partial 16S ribosomal RNA". It matches the Rfam family "Bacterial small subunit ribosomal RNA", at positions 57 to 305 of the family's 1533-position model. The record is from RNAcentral.
GCAAGUCGAGCGCACCCUUCGGGGUGAGCGGCGGACGGGUUAGUAACGCGUGGGAACGUACCCUUUUCUACGGAAUAGUCUCGGGAAACUGAGGGUAAUACCGUAUAAGCCCUUCGGGGGAAAGAUUUAUCGGAGAAGGAUCGGCCCGCGUUAGAUUAGAUAGUUGGUGGGGUAAUGGCCUACCAAGUCUACGAUCUAUAGCUGGUUUGAGAGGAUGAUC